RNAcentral lists this transfer RNA (73 nucleotides) under Thermoplasmatales archaeon. Its description in RNAcentral is "tRNA-Ala". It matches the Rfam family "tRNA". Rfam says of the family: Transfer RNA (tRNA) molecules are approximately 80 nucleotides in length. Their secondary structure includes four short double-helical elements and three loops (D, anti-codon, and T loops). Lineage: Archaea; Methanobacteriati; Thermoplasmatota; Thermoplasmata; Thermoplasmatales. The record is from RNAcentral.
GGGCGAGUAGAUCAGCUGGAAGAUCGUUACAUUGGCAUUGUAAAGGCCGCGAGUUCGAAUCUCGCCUCGUCCA